AAAGCUUUGGGCAGCAACCGCCUAAUAACAUUAAAUUUUUACCUAAUUAAUAUGUACCUAACUUAUAUAAUAUUAAUAAUCUGCUCACUGUCUUAAAGGGUGCAAUUAUUAAUUUAAAUGUUGUAAAAAAAGAGAAAAUACCUAUUAUUUUUAACUUUUCAGUACACGCCAAAUAAAAGUUUUUUUUUAAAUAUUUUUUUAUUUCUUUUAAAGUUAUCAAGAAUUGAACAUAUAAAGCUGUUCGGAUGCUAACAACAGCAAUAUUAGCGAUGCGUAAGUACCUACGAGUAUAUACAAAAUAUUUAUAUUUUUGAUUCGACAGACAAAUCAUUUUAGCUCUAAAGCAAGUGAAAAAUGCUCAACUCGAAAAAAUUUGAUGUUUUGGACACAAACAAGAGAAAUGAUCCAGGUUUAUAUGAAGAUAGUUUUACAUAUUCUGUUGAAAAUUAUUUUGAAGAUAAUCAAUCCACAGUCAAUGGUAACGACUUCAACUCAAUUUUGGAAACAGAAAGUUCUCAUAAUAAUGCAUCAGUAUCAGAGCCUAAUAACCUGGAUGGAUGUUCAGCGAGAGAUAAACAUCCAUGUGAACCUACCAAUGUUUUCCAAAAUCAAGAUGAUUCGAAGAUUUAUACCGAACUGCAACCAGUCUGUUACGGUAAAAAUGAAGGCGAUGAGGUAAUGACCAAUGUCGAGACCAAUGUAGAAAAUACAAUACUAACAUCAGACGACCAUAACAUAUCAGCGCAAGAAAGUGAUCCCAAAAAACUGCAGUCAGUGGAUUAUGAUGAUGAAAGUAAAUUUACAUUAGAAUUUCUUAACCUACUAUUUUAUUAAAUAGUAAAAUAUUUUUCAGGUUCUUUAGUUGAAAGUCCUGCUGAUGAUUCGGAUCUAGAUCUGAACUAUACGCCUGAUGAUGAAACUUUACGAAUAAAAAGAAAGACAAAAUUCCAUGAUUGUAUACCUUCCCAUUUUGGUGCGUUAUUAGUAUUUUUUUUAUAGAAUGUUUUGUAAAACUUAACUUCAUUGCAGAUUCAGACAUUGGUACGGAA
Molecule: long non-coding RNA, 1049 nt
Organism: Anthonomus grandis grandis
Lineage: Eukaryota; Metazoa; Arthropoda; Insecta; Coleoptera; Curculionidae
Exons: 3
Source: RefSeq, a predicted model, not a curated record